This 201-nucleotide long non-coding RNA is filed under the name Elaeis guineensis (African oil palm). RNAcentral describes it as "long non-coding RNA (EGUI_LNC049493)". Lineage: Eukaryota; Viridiplantae; Streptophyta; Magnoliopsida; Arecales; Arecaceae. The record is from RNAcentral.
AACAAAGGAGGAGAUCUAUCUCCUCUCGGGUGAGAGACCUAGAACUAUUCUAGGGUUUCUGGGUGAGGGAAAACCAAAGAGAAGAGUAUCUUCAUCUAUUUUUCUUCUACCAUCCAGCAUCCUUCUCUGAUCUAUCUUCAACAUCAAAAAGGUCCAAGAUGAUUGAAGAAGGAGAUCAAAUCAGAUCUGCCAUCAGAAGCC